GAGUUUGAUCGUGGCUCAGAUUGAACGCUGGCGGCAUGCCUUACACAUGCAAGUCGAGCGGCAGCGCGGGGGCAACCCUGGCGGCGAGCGGCGAACGGGUGAGUAAUACAUCGGAACGUGUCCUGUCGUGGGGGAUAACCAGUCGAAAGAUUGGCUAAUACCGCAUGACCUCGUAAGAGAAAAGCGGGGGACCGUAAGGCCUCGCGCGACUGGAGCGGCCGAUGUCGGAUUAGCUAGUUGGCGGGGUAAAAGCCCACCAAGGCGACGAUCCGUAGCUGGUUUGAGAGAACGACCAGCCACACUGGGACUGAGACACGGCCCAGACUCCUACGGGAGGCAGCAGUGGGGAAUUUUGGACAAUGGGGGCAACCCUGAUCCAGCCAUGCCGCGUGUGUGAAGAAGGCCUUCGGUUGU
This 414-nucleotide ribosomal RNA is filed under the name uncultured beta proteobacterium. RNAcentral's name for it is "bacterial SSU rRNA". It matches the Rfam family "Bacterial small subunit ribosomal RNA", at positions 9 to 426 of the family's 1533-position model. Lineage: Bacteria; Pseudomonadati; Pseudomonadota; Betaproteobacteria. The record is from RNAcentral.